Small nucleolar RNA from Ornithorhynchus anatinus (platypus), 138 nucleotides. The record is from RefSeq and is a predicted model, not a curated record. NCBI's taxonomy places the organism in Eukaryota, Metazoa, Chordata, Mammalia, Monotremata, Ornithorhynchidae.
CCCCUCCCAAGAUUGCACCUGGAGAGUUUUCAGCACUUCACCAGUUUCGGCUAAGGGAGGGAGAGUCAAGCAGAGGGAUACCCAUUCCAUUCCUAGCUUGGGCAGUGGCUAGCGAGUCGAAGGCCAUCUGCUACAAGU